GUUCGGUUAGUCAAGCGGUCAAGACACUACCCUUUCACGGUGGAAACAUGGGUUCAAAUCCCAUACCGAACA
RNAcentral lists this transfer RNA (72 nucleotides) under Bacteriophage sp. RNAcentral's name for it is "tRNA-Glu". It matches the Rfam family "tRNA". From Rfam's summary of the family: Transfer RNA (tRNA) molecules are approximately 80 nucleotides in length. Their secondary structure includes four short double-helical elements and three loops (D, anti-codon, and T loops). The record is from RNAcentral.